RNAcentral lists this long non-coding RNA (443 nucleotides) under Chrysemys picta bellii (western painted turtle). RNAcentral's name for it is "lncRNA (ENSCPBG00000024282.1)". The record is from RNAcentral. Lineage: Eukaryota; Metazoa; Chordata; Testudines; Emydidae.
UCUCCUAUUGUUGUUGCUGGGAGCUGGCAGCCAGGGGUAGUUGUGGCAGGGAAAGCAUGUGGACGAAAAGCUGGAACCCGUUGCUAGGUAAGGACCGCCUUCCCUUCUUCCAGGCCUGCAUGCACUUGCACAAUCAAGAAAUACCAUGGAGCUCACUCAGUGUCUUCCAUCUGCUUUUACAGGAGACUGCAGAACUGCAAGGUGAACACAUUGGCAUCCUCUCUCCAUAUCUGGUCCCUGAGGCUUGUUUCCCACCAUUCACAGGUAUGUCUGUCUCAGAUUGCACCCAAAAAGAUACAGUAGUUAUUUGGCAAGAUGAAAUCAAGGCACACAAAGAAAAGGCUUCUGAGAAUCCAUUGAGAGGCUUUCAGGUAUUUCUGAGCUCACUAUACUCACCAAUACUCUAUGCGUGGUUUUGGGCACUGUACAAGCACAUACGGUAA